GUAGGUGAACCUGCGGAAGGAUCAUUACAGUAUGUUCAGGGGGGCUGCUGCUGGCUUCUAACCGAGGCAUGUGCGCGUCCCUCGCCUUCUAUUCCACAUACACCUGUGCACCUUUGGCGAGCGCCUCCCGUCUGGAGCCGUCCCUUGUAACCUCUUCGGAGGGUAGGGGCCGGGGCGCUCCCUCUUUAUUACAUUACAGCCUGUCUUAACGCAUGUCUAAGCUCUACGGAGUGAAAUGAAAUACAACUUUCAACAACGGAUCUCUUGGCUUUC
This 273-nucleotide unclassified non-coding RNA is filed under the name rhizosphere metagenome. Its description in RNAcentral is "partial ribosomal RNA internal transcribed spacer region". The record is from RNAcentral.